RNAcentral lists this ribosomal RNA (407 nucleotides) under uncultured archaeon. Its description in RNAcentral is "bacterial SSU rRNA". It matches the Rfam family "Archaeal small subunit ribosomal RNA", at positions 95 to 484 of the family's 1478-position model. The record is from RNAcentral.
AACACGUGGUUAACCUACCCUCAGGACGGGGACAAACCCGGGAAACUGGGGCUAAUACCAGAUAGGCGAGGACGCCUGGAAUGGUUCUUCACCCAAAGGGCUUUGGAAACAUGCUUUUCAAAGUCGCCUGGGGAUGGGGCCGCGUCCGAUCAGGUUGUUGGUGAGGUAAUGGCUCACCAAGCCUAUAACCGGUACGGGCCGUGAGAGCGGUAGCCCGGAUAUGGGCACUGAUACAAGGGCCCAUGCCCUACGGGGCGCACCAGUCGCGAAAACUCCGCAAUGCACGAAAGUGUGACGGGGCUACCCCGAGUGCCGUCCGCUGAGGAUGGCUUUUCCUCUGUGUAACUAGCCGGGGGAAUAAGGAGAGGGCAAGACUGGUGUCAGCCGACGCGGUAAUACCAGCUCUC